GGAUUUCAUAUCUGACGCCACCCUCUAAAAGGCGAAGUUUUAAAGGAGGCUCGAGCCGUAUCGACCUAGAUGCGCAAAAUCGCAAUCCGUCCACGCCCGCAGAUUCAAAGGAGUCAAGGUGGAAUCUAAAGGCUGGAUUGAAGGUCUUGGCUGGAGAGACAAAAGAACCAGACGAAUUUUUUUUAUCUGCGAUGAGGUGUAUGAAAUCGACCAACUAGC
Stylophora pistillata is the source of this 219-nucleotide long non-coding RNA. RefSeq lists it as uncharacterized. The record is from RefSeq and is a predicted model, not a curated record. Lineage: Eukaryota; Metazoa; Cnidaria; Anthozoa; Scleractinia; Pocilloporidae.